RNAcentral lists this ribosomal RNA (637 nucleotides) under Psychrobacter sp. RNAcentral describes it as "bacterial SSU rRNA". It matches the Rfam family "Bacterial small subunit ribosomal RNA", at positions 817 to 1452 of the family's 1533-position model. Lineage: Bacteria; Pseudomonadati; Pseudomonadota; Gammaproteobacteria; Moraxellales; Moraxellaceae. The record is from RNAcentral.
UAGUCGUUGGGGAACNUGAUUCNUUAGUGACGCAGNUAACGCAAUAAGUAGACCGCCUGGGGAGUACGGCCGCAAGGUUAAAACUCAAAUGAAUUGNCGGGGGCCCGCACCAGCGGUGGAGCAUGUGGUUUANUUNGAUGCAACGCGAAGAACCUUACCUGGUCUUGACAUAUCUAGAAUCCUGCAGAGAUGCGGGAGUGCCUUCGGGAAUUAGAAUACAGGUGCUGCAUGGCUGUCGUCAGCUNGUGUCGUGAGAUGUUGGGUUAAGUCCCGCAACGAGCGCAACCCUUGUCCUUAGUUACCAGCGGGUUAAGCCGGGAACUCUAAGGAUACUGCCAGUGACAAACUGGAGGAAGGCGGGGACGACGUCAAGUCAUCAUGGCCCUUACGACCAGGGCUACACACGUGCUACAAUGGUAGGUACAGAGGGCAGCUACACAGCGAUGUGAUGCGAAUCUCAAAAAGCCUAUCGUAGUCCAGAUUGGAGUCUGCAACUCGACUCCAUGAAGUAGGAAUCGCUAGUAAUCGCGGAUCAGAAUGCCGCGGUGAAUACGUUCCCGGGCCUUGUACACACCGCCCGUCACACCAUGGGAGUUGAUUGCACCAGAAGUGGUUAGCCGAACCUUUUAGGACGGCG